Molecule: ribosomal RNA, 367 nt
Filed under: uncultured bacterium
Lineage: Bacteria
Description: bacterial SSU rRNA
Rfam family: Bacterial small subunit ribosomal RNA
Source: RNAcentral
GGGCCCGCACAAGCGGUGGAGUAUGUGGUUUAAUUCGAUGCAACGCGAGGAACCUUACCAGGGUUUAAAUGCAGAACGACAGGGGUGGAAACACCCCCUUCUUCGGACGGACUGCAAGGUGCUGCAUGGUUGUCGUCAGCUCGUGCUGUGAAGUGUCGGGUUAAGUCCCAUAACGAGCGCAACCCCAUUUCUAGUUGCCAGCGGUUCGGCCGGGGACUCUAGAGAAACUGCCAGCGUAAGCUGUGAGGAAGUGGGGACGACGUCAAGUCAUCAUGGCCCCUUACGAGUAGGGCUACACACGUGCUACAAUGGCGCAUACAGAGGGCAGCCAACUUGCGAGAGUGAGCGAAUCCCAAAAGUGCGUCGU